AUGACUUUUACUCAAUAGCAAUAUAUAUCCACCAAAAGUAAGACAACAAUAUUUCUGUAAACACCAUUACUGCCAAAUCCUUUAUAGACAAACCUGGUCUAGCUCUAAACAUGUUGAGAUACUGCAUUGAUAUCCACUUUGAUGUAGCUAGUUUAUUGUUCAUUGAUCUAGGACACACAUGUUCUCCCGUAAGAGUCUUAAUCAUAAAUACAU
This 213-nucleotide long non-coding RNA is filed under the name Salvia miltiorrhiza (redroot sage). Its description in RNAcentral is "long non-coding RNA (SMIL_LNC009861)". Lineage: Eukaryota; Viridiplantae; Streptophyta; Magnoliopsida; Lamiales; Lamiaceae. The record is from RNAcentral.